RNAcentral lists this ribosomal RNA (825 nucleotides) under uncultured archaeon. RNAcentral describes it as "bacterial SSU rRNA". It matches the Rfam family "Archaeal small subunit ribosomal RNA", at positions 25 to 861 of the family's 1478-position model. The record is from RNAcentral.
CGGCGCUUUGUUUCGUUAAGAAUGCGAGUCGAGAGCGUAAGGUCUCGGCGGCCGCUGAGUAACACGCGGAUAACAUGCCCUGGGGUGGGGGAUAACCUCGGGAAACUGAGAAUAACACUCCAUAAGUCUAGGAUGCUGGAAUGCACUUAGGCUAAAAACUUCGGUGCCUAAGGAUGAGUCUGUGGACUAUCAGGUUGUAGUCAGGGUAAUGACCUGACUAGCCUAUGACGGAUACGGGUUGUGAGAGCAAUAACCCGGAGAUGAUAUCUGAGACACGAUAUCAGGCCCUACGGGGCGCAGCAGGCGCGAAAACUUCGCAAUGUGCGAAAGCACGACGAGGGAAUCCCAAGUGCUGGCUCGUUAGAGUCAGCUGUUUUUAUGUCUAAAAAGCACAGAGAGUAAGUGCUGGGUAAGACGGGUGCCAGCCGCCGCGGUAAUACCUGCAGCACGAGUGGUGGCCACUAUUAUUGGGCCUAAAACGUCCGUAGCCUGUUUAUUAAAUGCCUAGGUAAAUUGUGUGGCUUAACCAUACGAAUUCUGGGUAGACUGAUAAACUUGAGACCGGGAGAAGCUAGAGGUACUCCUGGGGUAGAGGUGAAAUUCUGUAAUCCUAGGGGGACCACCAGUGGCGAAGGCGUCUAGCUAGAACGGGUUUGACGGUGAGGGACGAAGCCCCUGGGGCGCAAACGGGAUUAGAUACCCCGGUAGUCCAGGGUGUAAACGCUGCUUGCUUGAUGUUGGUUGGGCUCCGAGCCCAAUCAGUGUCGGAGAGAAGUUGUUAAGCAAGCUGCCUGGGAAGUACGAUCGCAAGACUGAAACUUAAAG